RNAcentral lists this ribosomal RNA (124 nucleotides) under Dryadella lilliputiana. Its description in RNAcentral is "partial 18S small subunit ribosomal RNA". It matches the Rfam family "Eukaryotic small subunit ribosomal RNA", at positions 1712 to 1831 of the family's 1831-position model. Lineage: Eukaryota; Viridiplantae; Streptophyta; Magnoliopsida; Asparagales; Orchidaceae. The record is from RNAcentral.
GGAUCGCUGUGAUGCGGGCGGUUCGCCGCCCGCGACUCUGCGAGAAGUCCAUUGAACCUUAUCAUUUAGAGGAAGGAGAAGUCGUAACAAGGUUUCCGUAGGUGAACCUGCGGAAGGAUCAUUG